UACGUAGGGGGCCAGCGUUGCUCGGAAUUACUGGGCGUAAAGGGCUCGUAGGCGGCCAACUAAGUCAGACGUGAAAUCCCUCGGCUUAACCGGGGAACUGCGUCUGAUACUGGAUGGCUAGAGAUUGGGAGAGGGAUGCGGAAUUCCAGGUGUAGCGGUGAAAUGCGUAGAUAUCUGGAGGAACACCGGUGGCGAAGGCGGCAUCCUGGACCGGUAUUGACGCUGAGUGAGCGAAAGCCAGGGGAGCAAACGGG
This 254-nucleotide ribosomal RNA is filed under the name uncultured bacterium. RNAcentral describes it as "partial 16S ribosomal RNA". It matches the Rfam family "Bacterial small subunit ribosomal RNA", at positions 524 to 776 of the family's 1533-position model. The record is from RNAcentral.